Molecule: ribosomal RNA, 451 nt
Filed under: uncultured bacterium
Lineage: Bacteria
Description: partial 16S ribosomal RNA
Rfam family: Bacterial small subunit ribosomal RNA
Source: RNAcentral
AACGAACGCUGGCGGCAGGCCUCAUACAUGCAAGUCUAACGGGUGUAGCAAUACAUCAGUGGCGCACGGGUGAGUAACGCGUGGGAAUAUGCCCUUGACUACGGAACAACCUCGGGAAACUGAGGCUAAUACCGUAUAAUGUCUCCGGACCAAAGAUUUAUCGGUCAAGGAUUAGCCCGCGUCUGAUUAGGUAGUUGGUGAGGUAACGGCUCACCAAGCCUACGAUCAGUAGCUGGUCUGAGAGGAUGAUCAGCCACACUGGGACUGAGACACGGCCCAGACUCCUACGGGAGGCAGCAGUAAGGAAUAUUGGACAAUGGGGGAAACCCUGAUCCAGCCAUGCCGCGUGAGUGAAGAAGGCCUUCGGGUUGUAAAGCUCUUUUACCCCUGACGAUAAUGACGGUAAGGGGAGAAAAAGCCACGGCUAACUUCGUGCCAGCAGCCGCCGUAA